This 498-nucleotide ribosomal RNA is filed under the name uncultured bacterium. RNAcentral's name for it is "partial 16S ribosomal RNA". It matches the Rfam family "Bacterial small subunit ribosomal RNA", at positions 28 to 507 of the family's 1533-position model. The record is from RNAcentral.
GACGAACGCUGGCGGCGUGCCUAAUACAUGCAAGUCGAGCGGACGAAUCGAAAGCUUGCUUUUUAUUCGUUAGCGGCGGACGGGUGAGUAACACGUGGGCAACCUGCCCUGUAGACGGGGAUAACACCGAGAAAUCGGUGCUAAUACCGGAUAACACGAAAUGUCGCAUGACGUUUCGUUGAAAGACGGCGCAAGCUGUCGCUACAGGAUGGGCCCGCGGCGCAUUAGCUAGUUGGUGAGGUAACGGCUCACCAAGGCGACGAUGCGUAGCCGACCUGAGAGGGUGAUCGGCCACACGGGGACUGAGACACGGCCCAGACUCCUACGGGAGGCAGCAGUAGGGAAUCUUCCGCAAUGGACGAAAGUCUGACGGAGCAACGCCGCGUGAGCGAAGAAGGCCUUCGGGUCGUAAAGCUCUGUUGUUAGGGAAGAACAAGUAACGCAGUAACUGGCGUUACCGUGACGGUACCUAACGAGAAAGCCACGGCUAACUACGUG